RNAcentral lists this ribosomal RNA (2397 nucleotides) under human gut metagenome. RNAcentral describes it as "bacterial LSU rRNA". It matches the Rfam family "Bacterial large subunit ribosomal RNA", at positions 14 to 2447 of the family's 2925-position model. The record is from RNAcentral.
AGGGCGAAAGGUGGAUGCCUAGGCUCUCGGAGGCGAAGAAGGACGUGAUAAGCUGCGAAAAGCUGCGGUAAGGAGCAAAUAUCCUGUGACCCGCAGAUUUCCGAAUGGGGCAACCCAUCAACGCAAGUUGAUAUACCGCCAAGCGGUAAGCAAACGCGGGGAACUGAAACAUCUCAUUACCCGUAGGAAGAGAAAAUAAGAAUGAUUCCGCAAGUAGUGGCGAGCGAACGCGGAAGAGCCCAAACCGGUGCCGUUUCGGCGGGGCCGGGGUAGAAGGACCGACAGAAGGGCAAAGGAAGCAUAGCCGAACAGUAUUGGAAAAUACGAUCAGAGACGGUGAUAAUCCGGUAGGCGAAAUGCAGAGUUUGACAGUCGGUAUCCUGAGUAGUGCAGGACACGAGAAAUCCGGUACGAAUCAGCGGGGACCAUCCCGUAAGGCUAAAUACUCCCGAGAGACCGAUAGCGCACCAGUACUGUGAAGGAAAGGUGAAAAGAACCUCGAACAGAGGAGUGAAAAAGACCCUGAAACCAUUCGCCUACAAGCGGUCGGAGCCACUACGUGUGGUGACGGCGUGCCUUUUGCAUAAUGAACCUACGAGUUACCCAUACCGGCCAGAUUAAGCGAUUCAGUCGCGGAGUCGAAGCGAAAGCGAGUCCUAACAAGGCGGAUAGUCGGUAUGAGUAGACGCGAAACCAAGUGAUCUACCCAUGAGCAGGUUGAAGGUUAGGUAACACUAACUGGAGGACCGCACCGGUAAACGUUGAAAAGUUUUCGGAUGACUUGUGGGUAGGAGUGAAAGGCCAAUCAAACUUGGAGAUAGCUCGUACUCCCCGAAAUGCAUUUAGGUGCAGCCUCGAAGUAAAGUGAUAGAGGUAGAGCGACUGAUAAGAUGCGAGGGCUUCACCGCCUAUCAAGUCUUGACAAACUCCGAAUGCGUGUCAGUUCUAUGUCAGGAGUGAGGGCAUGGGUGCUAAGGUCCAUGUCCUAAAGGAGAACAAUCCGGACCAACAGCUAAGGUCCCGAAAUGAAUACUAAGUUGAACUAACGAAGUCAGAUUGCUAAGACAGCUAGGAUGUUGGCUUGGAAGCAGCCAUUCAUUUAAAGAGUGCGUAACAGCUCACUAGUCGAGGAGUUUUGCAUGGAUAAUAAUCGGGCAUAAGCCCUUUACCGAAGCUGUGGAUGUCGUAAGACAUGGUAGGGGAGCAUUCCGGCGGCGACGAAGGCCGUCCUCGAGGACGACUGGAGCUUUCGGAAAAGCAAAUGUAGGUAUAAGUAACGAUAAAGGGGGCGUGAAACCCCCUCGCCAUAAGACUAAGGAUUCCUGAUCAACGCUAAUCGGAUCAGGGUAAGUCGGGCCCUAAGGCGCAGCCGAACGGCGUAGCCGAUGGAAGAAACGGUAAAGAUUCCGUUACUGGAUAUAGGAGCGAUGUGGAGACGGAGAAGUGACACACCCGCCUGCCGACGGAAGCGCAGGUUAAAGGAAGUAGGUAAACGCCGGGUAGGCAAAUCCGCCUGGCGUGCCGAAGCUGACAGUAUCGAGAGCCCCCGGGCAAUCGAAUAGCGGUGGUAAUCAGGCUCCCAAGAAAAUCCGCUAAGCAUAUUCUAUAUCCACCCGUACCCCAAACGGACACACGUAGUCGGGUAGAAUAUACCAAGGCGCUCGAAAGACUCACGGUUAAGGAACUAGGCAAAUUGACCCUGUAACCUCGGGAAAAAGGGUCCCCAGUAAGAUGGGGCGCAGAGAAUAGGUCCAGGCAACUGUUUAACAAAAACACAGGGCUGUGCAAAAUUGAAAGAUGAAGUAUACAGCCUGACACCUGCCCGGUGCUGGAAGGUUAAGAGGAGAUGUCAUCGCAAGAGAAGCAUUGAAUUGAAGCCCCAGUAAACGGCGGCCGUAACUAUAACGGUCCUAAGGUAGCGAAAUUCCUUGUCGGGUAAGUUCCGACCUGCACGAAUGGUGUAAUGAUCCGGACGCUGUCUCAACCGUGAGCUCAGUGAAAUUGUAGUAUCGGUGAAGAUGCCGAUUACCCGCGAUGGGACGAAAAGACCCCGUGAACCUUUACUAUAGCUUAACAUUGAAUUUGGGUAAUUGAUGUGUAGGAUAGGCCGGAGACUUUGAAGCAGGUACGCCAGUAUUUGUGGAGUCGCUGUUGAAAUACGGCCCUUUGAUUAUUUGAGUUCUAACUCGUAGAUACGAGGACACUGUUUGGUGGGUAGUUUGACUGGGGUGGUCGCCUCCAAAAGUGUAACGGAGGCUUCUAAAGGUGCCCUCAGGACGAUUGGUAACCGUCCGUAGAGUGUAAUGGCAUAAGGGCGCUUGACUGGGAGACAGACAAGUCGAUCAGGUAGGAAACUAGAGCAUAGUGAUCCGGUGUUUCCGUAUGGAAGGGACAUCG